UCGAUUUGGAGUUUGUUGCCUAGAGUGAUGGGCUCCGAAGCUAACGCGAUAAAUCGACCGCCUGGGGAGUACGGCCGCAAGGUUAAAACUCAAAUGAAUUGACGGGGGCCCGCACAAGCGGUGGAGCAUGUGGUUUAAUUCGAUGCAACGCGAAGAACCUUACCUGGUCUUGACAUCCACAGAAUCUUGCAGAGAUGCGAGGGUGCCUUCGGGAACUGUGAGACAGGUGCUGCAUGGCUGUCGUCAGCUCGUGUUGUGAAAUGUUGGGUUAAGUCCCGCAACGAGCGCAACCCUUAUCCUUUGUUGCCAUUGGUUCGGCCGGGAACUCAAAGGAGACUGCCGUUGAUAAAGCGGAGGAAGGUGGGGACGACGUCAAGUCAUCAUGGCCCUUACGACCAGGGCUACACACGUGCUACAAUGGCGUAUACAAAGGGAGGCGACCUCGCGAGAGCAAGCGGACCUCAUAAAGUACGUCUAAGUCCGGAUUGGAGUCUGCAACUCGACUCCAUGAAGUCGGAAUCGCUAGUAAUCGUGAAUCAGAAUGUCACGGUGAAUACGUUCCCGGGCCU
Molecule: ribosomal RNA, 569 nt
Filed under: uncultured Gammaproteobacteria bacterium
Lineage: Bacteria; Pseudomonadati; Pseudomonadota; Gammaproteobacteria
Description: bacterial SSU rRNA
Rfam family: Bacterial small subunit ribosomal RNA
Source: RNAcentral